GAAAGAUGUGACAAGCUUUGUUUUUGCAGGUGAUUCCAUAAUGUUUUCUAGGAAUCCAUUUUGUGUUUCGAGGUGGCUGCAGACAAGAAGCAAGAUUGAAGAUGAUCACUGUGAGAUUCAAAUGCCACCAAAAUUUAUUUUGUCCUUUUUUUUUUUUAAGAGCAGACCUGAAUGCCUUCAAACAGUUCAGGAGCACAUCUGAAAUGCUUAUAGUUUUGUUUAGUUCCCAGAAGUAUGACAUCACCAGCAUUGAUGGGACUUGCUGGAAUGCAUCCCAGGAUGGAGAGCUGGCAUGGAGGCAGCAGGCAUGGCAGGCUGGGCAGCAGCUCUUCAGCAUCUUCACCGAUGGUGUUUCUAGAGCAGGCACCGUGGAAGGAACAGCCUGGGGAAGGACUGAAAGAAUUAUCUGGCUCCCAGAAGUGGUGGACUGUUGAAAAAAAUCAUCUGAAGUUGUUUACAAUUAGAAUACUGGUGAAAAAUACAUCUUUUCAAUAUCUUUUUUCAAGCACUAGCUUCGUCUUGAUAUAUUUUAAUUGAAAAAAAGAUUUAUGCAAAAGUCAUGAUAUUCUCUCUGGAAAAAGAUAUCUGACUAUAAACACUGCUGUCAGGCUGCUUGCCUACUUAAAAAACCUGCUGAAGUAGGGCAAUGAUAAUGAAAAGUAGCCAAGUACAGCUUGUGCGGAUCAAGAUUAUAUAAACUCUUAUUUUAUUUUGUUAAUUUUUUCACAGAAUUGUAGAUUCUAGAAAAAGAUGGCUACAUAAGUACAAAGAAAAAGAAAACACAGAAGAACAAACAAGGGAUUUUGAAUAUGCACAUUUAUUGUGAGAACAGCUAAGUUGUACAAAACAAUAGAAUGGAGAGAAGUCAGGUAAAUGCUAAUAAUUUUAUGGGCUUUUUUUUUUAUGACCCAGAAGUGCUCUGAGGAACAUUAAAUUGGUUGAGACUGAUGAUUGGUUUUUUAAUGACAUUUCACAAAAUAUAAAAAGAUUAAUCAUGUUGGUUUUUACAACUAAAAUAACUAAGCACAAACUGUUUUAAAAAAAUUACUGAAGUGUGAUGUCUGGAUUUAAAAAUCAAGCUAUGUACUAAAAAUAUGGAAAAAAAUAGAAAGGAAAGAAAGUGAUAUUAUUUGCUCUAUUAAAAUUGAAAAAUGAAAGGAAGAGAAUUAAAAAACUGGAAUGAUGGAAAAUAGAAACAACAAGGCAAGUUAAAUGUUGUUGUUCCUUGAUCCAGAAAUGUCUCCAUCUUUACGGGUUAAAUUUGAUUUGUGAUACUGAAGCAGUGCAGUCUUGUAUAAUUUUUUUUUUCUCCACCGUUAUCUGAUGAUGUCUAUUUAUCAGAUUUCCAUUGUGCUUUAUUUUUUCUGUCAUACUUUCCUUUUUGAUUUCUGCUUGUGGUCUCUUUACAUACAGGAAUAUGAUUUUAUACAUAUUUCUAGAUAUGUUAUAUGUAUUUCUGUAAAUAUUUUCUAAAUGCACAAUAUUUCUAUACAUACUCCAUAUACCAACCACAUAUAUUUUCCAUAUACAAUUUCUAUUUGUAGAUGUUCACAUAAUAUUAUAUAUGGAAAUUAAAUGUAAUUGUAUAUAUACAUAUGAUUCUCCUGUAUAUGUUACAUACACAAAUAUUUCGGCUGUAAUUUGUAGUCAAUUAAUCAUUGAUAUUUUACCUUAAUCUGGCACUCUUGUCCAUGUUCUGGGAUCUUUCCUGGCUCACCAUUUCCAAUGAGUUACAAUGAAACUGGUAUUUAGCUAGAAUGUUGUAGCAUUUUCUUAGCCAAAUAGACAUUUUUUUGGUGAUGUUUCUGUAGAUAUUGAGUAUAUAAUGGUUGUUAUAGACAGAUUAAAAUUUGUCAUGUGCAUUUGCACAACUGUGAUUUAUUUGCUUCUCUCUGUUAGUUGUAACUCCUUGGUCAAGAGGUGGGAAAUAUGUUUCAUUCAAAAACUGCUAAGUAAUUUCUUAGUUUAAUUCUGGACAGGAGAGUGCUGAAUUGACACAGGUGUUUUAAAAAUGCCUGUAUUUCUUAUGCAGUAACAUUCUUUUUUUGUUACUCUACAAAUUUAGUGAUCCCUUGGAGGUAUUUGAGAACAAUGAGGUUUCCAGGCUAGAAAACAGCGUUAACUCGGAAGUGACAGAUCAAUUAUUUAUUUAUGGACUAAUUGGAGGCAGAAGCCAGGGCCCUGCUGUGGAAGGGCAGCGUGAAGACAAGCAGGCACUAAUGGCCUUUGCCACCUGCCCUGCAGGGUGCAUUCUGUAGCUGGCAAUCAGCUCUCCACGUGGACUUGUCCAAAUUAAGUCACCCUACUCAGUUUCAUCUGGUGGUUUCAGAAAACCUGCUGUGAGCUUCUCUUCUUGAAUGACAGAAAUAAAAACUGGGCUCAGAGCA
Long non-coding RNA from Cyanistes caeruleus (blue tit), 2387 nucleotides. NCBI's taxonomy places the organism in Eukaryota, Metazoa, Chordata, Aves, Passeriformes, Paridae. The record is from Ensembl.